Molecule: transfer RNA, 74 nt
Filed under: Cuspidothrix issatschenkoi LEGE 03284
Lineage: Bacteria; Bacillati; Cyanobacteriota; Cyanophyceae; Nostocales; Aphanizomenonaceae
Description: tRNA-Pro
Rfam family: tRNA
About the family: Transfer RNA (tRNA) molecules are approximately 80 nucleotides in length.
Source: RNAcentral
CGGGAUGUAGCGCAGCUUGGUAGCGCACUGCGUUCGGGACGCAGGGGCCGCAGGUUCAAAUCCUGUCAUCCCGA